Molecule: ribosomal RNA, 505 nt
Filed under: uncultured bacterium
Lineage: Bacteria
Description: bacterial SSU rRNA
Rfam family: Bacterial small subunit ribosomal RNA
Source: RNAcentral
GCCCUUAGAGUUUGAUCCUGGCUCAGGAUGAACGCUAGCUACAGGCUUAACACAUGCAAGUCGAGGGGCAGCAUGGUCUUAGCUUGCUAAGGCCGAUGGCGACCGGCGCACGGGUGAGUAACGCGUAUCCAACCUGCCUUACACUCUUGGACAGCCUUCUGAAAGGGAGAUUAAUACAAGAUGUUAUCAUGAGUAAGCAUUUUCGCAUGAUUAAAGGUUUACCGGUGUAAGAUGGGGAUGCGUUCCAUUAGAUAGUAGGCGGGGUAACGGCCCACCUAGUCUUCGAUGGAUAGGGGUUCUGAGAGGAAGGUCCCCCACAUUGGAACUGAGACACGGUCCAAACUCCUACGGGAGGCAGCAGUGAGGAAUAUUGGUCAAUGGACGAGAGUCUGAACCAGCCAAGUAGCGUGAAGGAUGAAGGUUCUAUGGAUUGUAAACUUCUUUUAUACGGGAAUAAACGAAUCCACGCGUGGAUUUAGCAUGUACCGUAUGAAUAGGAUGGUAC